GUGAAUUAUUUUUUUUCUGUGUGAUUAUUACACGUUACAUGUUCGCCGGCUAGUGAAUACAAUACGGUAAUAUCAGAUAUGUAACGGCUACAGCAAGCUACAGUAAGAUGUAAAGUACGUUAGGUCGUACGAGCGAGUUCGCGCUAGGGAAACGUUGAAUGGGUGCUGCUCAUUAUCAACGUAUUCGUUCUGCGAUUUCAAUCAGAUAGGACGAUAGUCGAUAGGUAAUCACAUUGGCAGAUACUAGUGUUCUUUGCAGUCCAGUAACGACCACAAACUGAAUAACAGCGCGUACCGAGACGGGUACCGAGAGAGCAUCGAAAAUACCAUCGUUCAGUCGGGUGUGCGGUUACCGGCUCAUUAUUACAUUACAUAUCGGCCUAACCUAACUUUCGCGUUGAGACUUUUUCUUUUCGUUUACUUUUUUCCUUGUUAUUUUGAACGAGGUUAUUCAAUCAAGCGGGGAUGCUUCGCCUUCUUUUAGCUGCGGACAAUAUCAUAAUCUAAUACAGAUUGCAUUUGAUGCAGUACAACAGUGAUCGUUUUGGCAUAUAUAUAUAUUUUGAUCGAACAAACAAAAUGCCAUACCGCGCGUCGAUCAACACCGCCGACCGAGAGGUUCACGGAGAACGGGAUUUAUUAUUUCAGUAAACGUCGAUCAAAUGCAACGCAAACAAAAUGUCGAAGAAUAUGCAU
Non-coding RNA from Megalopta genalis, 696 nucleotides. The record is from RefSeq and is a predicted model, not a curated record. NCBI's taxonomy places the organism in Eukaryota, Metazoa, Arthropoda, Insecta, Hymenoptera, Halictidae.